Molecule: ribosomal RNA, 497 nt
Filed under: uncultured bacterium
Lineage: Bacteria
Description: partial 16S ribosomal RNA
Rfam family: Bacterial small subunit ribosomal RNA
Source: RNAcentral
GAUGAACGCUGGCGGCGUGCCUAAUACAUGCAAGUCGAGCGAACAGACGAGGAGCUUGCUCCUCUGACGUUAGCGGCGGACGGGUGAGUAACACGUGGAUAACCUACCUAUAAGACUGGGAUAACUUCGGGAAACCGGAGCUAAUACCGGAUAAUAUAUUGAACCGCAUGGUUCAAUAGUGAAAGACGGUUUUGCUGUCACUUAUAGAUGGAUCCGCGCCGCAUUAGCUAGUUGGUAAGGUAACGGCUUACCAAGGCAACGAUGCGUAGCCGGCCUGAGAGUGUGAUCGGCCACACUGGAACUGAGACACGGUCCAGACUCCUACGGGAGGCAGCAGUAGGGAAUCUUCCGCAAUGGGCGAAAGCCUGACGGAGCAACGCCGCGUGAGUGAUGAAGGUCUUCGGAUCGUAAAACUCUGUUAUUAGGGAAGAACAAAUGUGUAAGUAACUAUGCACGUCUUGACGGUACCUAAUCAGAAAGCCACGGCUAACUACGUG